CAUUAAAGAGUUCUAUAACUCCCAAACCCAUGUGAACAUACCUAACGUUGCCUCGGCAGGUCGCACCUACCUUGUAGCACCCUACCCUGUAGGGCCUACCCGGGAGGUGCGGGUAAGCCUGCCGGCGGCCCACCAAACUCUGUUUGAUAUUGAAUUCUGAACCUAUAACUAAAUAAGUUAAAACUUUCAACAACGGAUCUCUUGGUUCUGGCAUCGAUGAAGAACGCAGCGAAAUGCGAUAAGUAAUGUGAAUUGCAGAAUUCAGUGAAUCAUCGAAUCUUUGAACGCAUAUUGCGCCCAUUAGUAUUCUAGUGGGCAGGACCGUUCGAGCGUCAUUUCAACCCUUAAGCCUUCGUUGCUUAGUGUUGGGAGCCUACGGCAACGUAGCUCCUCAAAGUUAGUGGCGGAGUUGGUUCACACUCUAGACGUAGUAAUUUUUUAUCUCGCCUAUUAGUUGGACUAAUCCCCUGCCGUAAAACCCCCAAUUUAUCAAGGUUGACCUCGAAUCGGUUCAGACAAACUCGCUAAAUUGAAGCAUCUUAGUCAGCGAAGGAAAAGAAACCAACAGGGAUUGCCCUAGUAACGGCGAGUGAAGCGGCAACAGCUCAAAUUUGAAAUCUGGCCCUCGGGUCCGAGUUGUAAUUUGUAGAGGAUGCUUUUGGCGCGGUGCCUUCCGAGUUCCCUGGAACGGGACGCCUUAGAGGGUGAGAGCCCCGUACGGUUGGACACCAAGCCUCUGUAAAGCUCCUUCGACGAGUCGAGUAGCUUGGGAAUGCUGCUCUAAAUGGGAGGUAAAUUUCUUCU
This 804-nucleotide ribosomal RNA is filed under the name fungal endophyte. RNAcentral describes it as "eukaryotic LSU rRNA". The stretch from base 497 to 804 matches the Rfam family "Eukaryotic large subunit ribosomal RNA", at positions 1 to 311 of the family's 3401-position model. The record is from RNAcentral. Lineage: Eukaryota; Fungi.